This 1129-nucleotide ribosomal RNA is filed under the name Escherichia sp. ESBL15bB1_13_1E. RNAcentral describes it as "bacterial SSU rRNA". It matches the Rfam family "Bacterial small subunit ribosomal RNA", at positions 78 to 1198 of the family's 1533-position model. Lineage: Bacteria; Pseudomonadati; Pseudomonadota; Gammaproteobacteria; Enterobacterales; Enterobacteriaceae. The record is from RNAcentral.
GCUUGCUGUUUCGCUGACGAGUGGCGGACGGGUGAGUAAUGUCUGGGAAACUGCCUGAUGGAGGGGGAUAACUACUGGAAACGGUAGCUAAUACCGCAUAACGUCGCAAGACCAAAGAGGGGGACCUUCGGGCCUCUUGCCAUCGGAUGUGCCCAGAUGGGAUUAGCUUGUUGGUGGGGUAACGGCUCACCWAGGCGACGAUCCCUAGCUGGUCUGAGAGGAUGACCAGCCACACUGGAACUGAGACACGGUCCAGACUCCUACGGGAGGCAGCAGUGGGGAAUAUUGCACAAUGGGCGCAAGCCUGAUGCAGCCAUGCCGCGUGUAUGAAGAAGGCCUUCGGGUUGUAAAGUACUUUCAGCGGGGAGGAAGGGAGUAAAGUUAAUACCUUUGCUCAUUGACGUUACCCGCAGAAGAAGCACCGGCUAACUCCGUGCCAGCAGCCGCGGUAAUACGGAGGGUGCAAGCGUUAAUCGGAAUUACUGGGCGUAAAGCGCACGCAGGCGGUUUGUUAAGUCAGAUGUGAAAUCCCCGGGCUCAACCUGGGAACUGCAUCUGAUACUGGCAAGCUUGAGUCUCGUAGAGGGGGGUAGAAUUCCAGGUGUAGCGGUGAAAUGCGUAGAGAUCUGGAGGAAUACCGGUGGCGAAGGCGGCCCCCUGGACGAAGACUGACGCUCAGGUGCGAAAGCGUGGGGAGCAAACAGGAUUAGAUACCCUGGUAGUCCACGCCGUAAACGAUGUCGACUUGGAGGUUGUGCCCUUGAGGCGUGGCUUCCGGAGCUAACGCGUUAAGUCGACCGCCUGGGGAGUACGGCCGCAAGGUUAAAACUCAAAUGAAUUGACGGGGGCCCGCACAAGCGGUGGAGCAUGUGGUUUAAUUCGAUGCAACGCGAAGAACCUUACCUGGUCUUGACAUCCACGGAAGUUUUCAGAGAUGAGAAUGUGCCUUCGGGAACCGUGAGACAGGUGCUGCAUGGCUGUCGUCAGCUCGUGUUGUGAAAUGUUGGGUUAAGUCCCGCAACGAGCGCAACCCUUUAUCCUUUGUUGCCAGCGGUCCGGCCGGGAACUCAAAGGAGACUGCCAGUGAUAAACUGGAGGAAAGGUGGGGGAUGACGUCAAGUCAUCAUGG